AGCAGGAAUUCGCUCGGAGACCAUUUCUGUGCCACAGGAAAUAAAAGCGUUGCAGCUGUGGAAUGAGAUAGAAGCACGACAUCCUGGAUUGGCUGAUGUCAGAAAUCAGGUGAUAUUUGCUGUCCGUCAAGAAUAUGUCGAGCUUGGAGAUCAAGUCCUCCAGCUUCGGUCGGGAGACGAAAUUGCCAUUAUCCCCCCCAUUAGUGGAGGGUAAUGCUCAUGAGCCACUUGGGGAAGAGCUGAAGGAAGUUGAAGAGUCAGCUAAAGAGAUAAUAAAAUUCACCACUGAGAAGCUGUCCAUAGAUGAAGCCUCACAGUUGGUGAUUUCUCCACUCUGUGGUGCAGUAUCCCUGUUUGUAGGGACUACAAGAAAUAACUUUGAAGGGAAAAAAGUCAUUAGCUUAGAAUAUGAAGCAUAUCUCCCAAUGGCAGAAACUGAAAUCAGAAAGAUCUGUAGUGACAUUCGGCAGAAAUGGCCAGUCAAACACAUAGCAGUGUUUCAUAGACUUGGCUUAGUUCCAGUGUCAGAAGCAAGCAUUAUCAUCGCUGUGUCCUCAGCCCAUAGGGCCGCAUCCCUCCAAGCUGUGAGCUAUGCCAUUGAUACUUUAAAAGCCAAGGUGCCCAUAUGGAAAAAGGAAAAGUAUGAAGAAUCGUCAUCAUCUUGGAAAAGAAACAAAGAAUGCUUUUGGACAACCAGUGAUUAAGUCACACAUUUUUUAAAGAAUACUAAAAUUAAAUUUGUUGUAUUUUAGUGUACGAUGCAUACCAGACACACUCACUGGUGGUAGUCCCAUGGUAAGCCGCCCUGACAGCUUGGUUCACCAGAACUGAGAUGGGCAAGGUUGAGGAAAGCGUUUGAGAGGUCACCUGAUCUGGGAAUGGGACACGUUUGUGCAUCGAUGUAGAUGGAAGCAUGUGCCACCCAACCUUUGCAUUAAUGUGCCGUCUCUACAGUGAGGGCCAGUCGAUACGUCACCUCGGACAACCUCAGAUGCUUUAUUUAUGAAAUAGGAACUUCGGUUUCUGGCACAGUUCCAUCGUCAAGUGACAGCAUUUGGAGUCCAGACUU
RNA transcript from Neomonachus schauinslandi (Hawaiian monk seal), 1069 nucleotides. It is a transcript of the gene named molybdenum cofactor synthesis 2, with no coding region annotated. The record is from RefSeq and is a predicted model, not a curated record. Lineage: Eukaryota; Metazoa; Chordata; Mammalia; Carnivora; Phocidae. The transcript has 8 exons.